GGUCCUGUAGUUCAAUGGAUAGAACAAGUGUUUCCUAAACACUAGAUCCGGGUUCGAUUCCCGGCGGGACUA
Paludibacter propionicigenes WB4 is the source of this 72-nucleotide transfer RNA. It matches the Rfam family "tRNA". Rfam says of the family: Transfer RNA (tRNA) molecules are approximately 80 nucleotides in length. Their secondary structure includes four short double-helical elements and three loops (D, anti-codon, and T loops). Further hydrogen bonds mediate the characteristic L-shaped molecular structure. tRNAs have two regions of fundamental functional importance: the anti-codon, which is responsible for specific mRNA codon recognition, and the 3' end, to which the tRNAs corresponding amino acid is attached (by aminoacyl-tRNA synthetases). tRNAs cope with the degeneracy of the genetic code in two manners: having more than one tRNA (with a specific anti-codon) for a particular amino acid; and 'wobble' base-pairing, i.e. permitting non-standard base-pairing at the 3rd anti-codon position. The record is from Rfam. NCBI's taxonomy places the organism in Bacteria, Pseudomonadati, Bacteroidota, Bacteroidia, Bacteroidales, Paludibacteraceae.